CCUACGGGGGGCAGCAGUGAGGAAUAUUGGUCAAUGGGCGGGAGCCUGAACCAGCCAAGCCGCGUGAAGGAAGAAGGCGCCAAGCGUCGUAAACUUCUUUUGUCGGGGAACAAAGGGCGCCACGUGUGGCGUUGUGAGUGUACCCGAAGAAAAAGCAUCGGCUAACUCCGUGCCAGCAGCCGCGGUAAUACGGAGGAUGCGAGCGUUAUCCGGAUUUAUUGGGUUUAAAGGGUGCGCAGGCGGGCUGUUAAGCCGGCGGUAAAAAUUCAGGGCUCAACCCUGUCGAGCCGUCGGAACUGGCAGUC
This 305-nucleotide ribosomal RNA is filed under the name uncultured bacterium. RNAcentral describes it as "bacterial SSU rRNA". It matches the Rfam family "Bacterial small subunit ribosomal RNA", at positions 338 to 641 of the family's 1533-position model. The record is from RNAcentral.